This 860-nucleotide ribosomal RNA is filed under the name Piniphoma wesendahlina. RNAcentral describes it as "partial 28S ribosomal RNA". It matches the Rfam family "Eukaryotic large subunit ribosomal RNA", at positions 61 to 940 of the family's 3401-position model. Lineage: Eukaryota; Fungi; Ascomycota; Dothideomycetes; Pleosporales; Phaeosphaeriaceae. The record is from RNAcentral.
GAAACCAACAGGGAUUGCCCUAGUAACGGCGAGUGAAGCGGCAACAGCUCAAAUUUGAAAUCUGGCUCUUUUAGAGUCCGAGUUGUAAUUUGCAGAGGGCGCUUUGGCGUUGGCAGCGGUCCAAGUUCUUUGGAACAGGACGUCACAGAGGGUGAGAAUCCCGUACGUGGUCGCUAGCCUUCGCCGUGUAAAGCCCCUUCGACGAGUCGAGUUGUUUGGGAAUGCAGCUCUAAAUGGGAGGUAAAUUUCUUCUAAAGCUAAAUACUGGCCAGAGACCGAUAGCGCACAAGUAGAGUGAUCGAAAGAUGAAAAGCACUUUGGAAAGAGAGUCAAAUAGCACGUGAAAUUGUUGAAAGGGAAGCGCUUGCAGCCAGACUUGCCUGUAGUUGCUUAUCCGGACUUUUGUCCGGUGCACUCUUCUGCGGGCAGGCCAGCAUCAGUUUGGGCGGUUGGAUAAAGGUCUCUGUCAUGUACCUCCCUUCGGGGAGGCCUUAUAGGGGAGACGACAUGCAACCAGCCUGGACUGAGGUCCGCGCAUCUGCUAGGAUGCUGGCGUAAUGGCUGUAAGCGGCCCGUCUUGAAACACGGACCAAGGAGUCUAACAUCUAUGCGAGUGUUUGGGUGUCAAGCCCAGACGCGUAAUGAAAGUGAACGGAGGUGGGAACCUUUUAGGUGCACCAUCGACCGAUCCUGAUGUCUUCGGAUGGAUUUGAGUAAGAGCAUGGCUGUUGGGACCCGAAAGAUGGUGAACUAUGCUUGAAUAGGGUGAAGCCAGAGGAAACUCUGGUGGAGGCUCGCAGCGGUUCUGACGUGCAAAUCGAUCGUCAAAUUUGGGCAUAGGGGCGAAAGACUAAUCGAAC